This is a long non-coding RNA of Nematostella vectensis (starlet sea anemone), 116 nucleotides long. RefSeq lists it as uncharacterized. The record is from RefSeq and is a predicted model, not a curated record. The transcript has 2 exons. Lineage: Eukaryota; Metazoa; Cnidaria; Anthozoa; Actiniaria; Edwardsiidae.
GUAUUUUCGAGCCUGCGGUUUCUCAGCGGUUAUAAGGACAAAAGAUAGAAGGAAAUCCCGCAUUGUUUGACAACUAUUUCCUUUACACUGGGAACAAGGAACAUGAAUCCAAACAA